This 478-nucleotide ribosomal RNA is filed under the name uncultured bacterium. Its description in RNAcentral is "partial 16S ribosomal RNA". It matches the Rfam family "Bacterial small subunit ribosomal RNA", at positions 28 to 523 of the family's 1533-position model. The record is from RNAcentral.
GACGAACGCUGGCGGCGUGCUUAACACAUGCAAGUCGAACGGUAAGGCCCUUCGGGGUACACGAGUGGCGAACGGGUGAGUAGCACGUGGGUGAUCAGCCCUGCACUUCGGGAUAAGCCUGGGAAACUGGGUCUAAUACCGGAUAGGACUCCGGACUGCAUGGUCUGGGGUGGAAAGCUUUUGCGGUGUGGGAUGGGCCCGCGGCCUAUCAGCUUGUUGGUGGGGUGAUGGCCUACCAAGGCGACGACGGGUAGCCGGCCUGAGAGGGUGACCGGCCACACUGGGCCGGAGAUACGGCCCAGACUCCUACGGGAGGCAGCAGUGGGGAAUAUUGCACAAUGGGCGCAAGCCUGAUGCAGCGACGCCGCGUGAGGGAUGACGGCCUUCGGGUUGUAAACCUCUUUCAGCACAGACGAAGCGCAAGUGACGGUAGGUGCAGAAGAAGGACCGGCCAACUACGUGCCAGCCGCCGCAGUAA